AUGUCACAAUCACACACUGUGUCCAGUAAGAGUUGUGCAUCACAUAGAAGAUAUGUAUGUUGCUUCUGUGAUUUUGAUUCACCUUUCACUACUGCAUGGACAAGUGAGAAGCCUGGGAAUAGGUUUAGUGGUUGUGGGUUAUACAAGUUGCAGGGACGAAAAGGAUGUAAUUUCUUCAAUUGGUACGAUGAAGAAAUGUUUGUGUGUGCAAAGGAGGUGAUUUUGUCACUAAUGAAGAGAAUUGAUGAACUUAAGAAGGAGGAUAAUAUAAAGCUGGAACAAAAUAAAGAUUUGAAAAAGAAGCUAAAGUUUUUCCAAGGAUUGGUUGUUGUAGCUGUUGUGGUCUAUAUGGGAUUGCUCUGUAUUGUUAACUUGAAGGCCUGA
Molecule: non-coding RNA, 384 nt
Organism: Vicia faba (fava bean)
Lineage: Eukaryota; Viridiplantae; Streptophyta; Magnoliopsida; Fabales; Fabaceae
Source: the annotation of a GenBank genome assembly